UUUCGAAUCAUUCACAAUGGGCGAAAGCCUGAUGGUGCGACGCCGCGUGAGGGAUGAAGGCCUUCGGGUUGUAAACCUCUGUCACCGGGGAAGAAACGCUUCAAGUUAACAGCUUGAAGCCUGACUUAACCCGGAGAGGAAGCAGUGGCUAACUCUGUGCCAGCAGCCGCGGUAAUACAGAGACUGCAAGCGUUAUUCGGAUUCACUGGGCGUAAAGGGUGCGCAGGCGGCCGGGUGUGUCAGAUGUGAAAUCCCGAGGCUUAACCUCGGAACUGCGUCUGAAACUACUCGGCUAGAGUAUUGGAGAGGGUAACGGAAUUCACGGUGUAGCAGUGAAAUGCGUAGAUAUCGUGAGGAACACCAGAGGCGAAGGCGGUUACCUGGACAAUUACUGACGCUCAGGCACGAAAGCAUGGGGAGCAAAAGGGAUUAGAUACCCCCGUAGUCCCUGAGCGGGCUGGCAAGGC
This 467-nucleotide ribosomal RNA is filed under the name uncultured bacterium. RNAcentral's name for it is "bacterial SSU rRNA". It matches the Rfam family "Bacterial small subunit ribosomal RNA", at positions 355 to 821 of the family's 1533-position model. The record is from RNAcentral.